UGUGGAAGAACAAGCCCAGACACGUUUCUUCACGGAGAACAAGGAAAACACUUUACCGAACUCAUAUGGGAUGGGCCCUGUAAGUUGUGCAGCACUGUUGUACCAACCAAGAGUGACAUUUUAAAGCAUUACAGACUGCAACAUGGGACCUUUGGACACAGCCAUUCCUUGCCUUGCAUUCAUAUUAAUGAAGCGGAAUCAACAUUUAUGUCCCAACUGGACAGGUACACGCCAAAGCUCCUGGAGCUCUUCAGUCCAAAAGAAGGAGUGACUGCAGCGCAUCAAGAACUUGUUGAUGGAACUGAUACAGGACCCAAGUGCCUCUGCAGUGAAGAAGAGAGAUGUGACUGUGAGAUGCCUCAUAGAGUACGUGGGAGAGAGUGGACAGGAGCUAAUCUCUGACUACUGGAACUGCAGAGACCACUGUUCAUGAGGACCUGGAAAUGAAGAAUAUGAGCAUCUACAUCUGUCGUGAGCCAAAUGCAGUAGGAAUCAUCAUUGAGGGAGUACCAGUCCUUACUCAUCUUGGAAACCUGGCCAAAGCAUGCUGCCUACUUCUGGGGUUGACGUAUGCACUUAAUCUUGAGUAUCCAUCCAAACUUUCCAAAACAUUUGAGGUGUUUCAAAGACUUUUUGUGGGACUUGACACACUGCGCCCAAAACCAACCCCCAAAUUCAUGACUCUCAAAAACAAGCUUCUAGCUUAGGCAGUGAGCCAUGACUGUCAGCUUGCACUUUUGAACAGCUAUUUUCUUGUGUCUGUUCAAAAUCAUUAUACAUUGUUCAUUGAGUGGAAUUCUUCAGAAUGUUGUAACGGUUUGUCCUGUUCAGGUUUUAUACAAAGCUCCAGGUCAUCGUUUCUGGUGUGUAAAUUAAGUUUUUUUAUGUUUUAUACACACUAAAUUGCCCUACUGUGAAGCUCCAGCUGGUCAGAAGGAGGGAUCUGUGAGUUGUUUAAGUUCAAAUGUUUCAAAAUAUACACACUGAAAGACACUACAGUGAAGGUGUUCUGCUUGUAAAUUGUUACAGAAGUACAGAUAAUCUUAAUGUUAAAUUGUUUUAGCAAGAAACUGUACUGUGAAUGUUCUAAGUAAAACUUGAGAUGCUGAGGUCAUGCAUUCUUUUAUGCACUAAAUACUGAUGUUCUUGACUGUUAAUACUGUCCAGCUUAUUGACAGGUUUGGAUAUGGCUUGUGAAAAUGUUUUAAUAUGUAUACGGUUAAAAAAAGAAAACUACUGUGAAGGUGUUCUAUACAGCACUUUAAAAAGUUGAGGUCAUGCAUUCUUGUAUAAUAUGGAUGUUGACUGUUCAUACUGUCCAGCUCAUUGCCACU
This is a non-coding RNA of Nerophis lumbriciformis (worm pipefish), 1334 nucleotides long. Lineage: Eukaryota; Metazoa; Chordata; Actinopteri; Syngnathiformes; Syngnathidae. The record is from RefSeq and is a predicted model, not a curated record.